GAUGAACGCUGGCGGCGUGCCUAAUACAUGCAAGUCGAGCGAACAGACGAGGAGCUUGCUCCUCUGACGUUAGCGGCGGACGGGUGAGUAACACGUGGAUAACUUACCUAUAAGACUGGGAUAACUUCGGGAAACCGGAGCUAAUACCGGAUAAUAUAUUGAACCGCAUGGUUCAAUAGUGAAAGACGGUUUUGCUGUCACUUAUAGAUGGAUCCGCGCCGCAUUAGCUAGUUGGUAAGGUAACGGCUUACCAAGGCAACGAUGCGUAGCCGACCUGAGAGGGUGAUCGGCCACACUGGAACUGAGACACGGUCCAGACUCCUACGGGAGGCAGCAGUAGGGAAUCUUCCGCAAUGGGCGAAAGCUUGACGGAGCAACGCCGCGUGAGUGAUGAAGGUCUUCGGAUCGUAAAACUCUGUUAUUAGGGAAGAACAAAUGUGUAAGUAACUAUGCACGGCUUGACGGUACCUAAUCAGAAAGCCACGGCUAACUACGUG
RNAcentral lists this ribosomal RNA (497 nucleotides) under uncultured bacterium. RNAcentral describes it as "partial 16S ribosomal RNA". It matches the Rfam family "Bacterial small subunit ribosomal RNA", at positions 28 to 507 of the family's 1533-position model. The record is from RNAcentral.